AUUGAACGCUGGCGGCAGGCUUAACACAUGCAAGUCGAGCGAGCGGCGGACGGGUGAGUAAUGUCUGGGAAACUGCCUGAUGGUGGGGGAUAACUACUGGAAACGGUAGCUAAUACCGCAUACCAUCAGAUGUGCCCAGAUGGGAUUAGCUAGUAGGUGGGGUAAUGGCUCACCUAGGCGACGAUCCCUAGCUGGUCUGAGAGGAUGACGAGCCACACGGGAACUAAGACACGGUCCAGACGCCUACGAGAGGCAGCAGUGGGGAAUAUGGCACAAUGGGCGCAAGCCGGAUGCAGCCAUGCCGCGUGUGUGAAGAAGGCGUUCGGGUUGUAAAGCACUUUAAGCGAGGAGGCGUUACUCGCAGAAGAAGCACCGGCUAACUCCGUGCCAGCAGCCGCGGUAAUUC
RNAcentral lists this ribosomal RNA (406 nucleotides) under uncultured bacterium. RNAcentral's name for it is "partial 16S ribosomal RNA". It matches the Rfam family "Bacterial small subunit ribosomal RNA", at positions 30 to 526 of the family's 1533-position model. The record is from RNAcentral.